RNAcentral lists this ribosomal RNA (469 nucleotides) under uncultured Veillonellaceae bacterium. RNAcentral's name for it is "bacterial SSU rRNA". It matches the Rfam family "Bacterial small subunit ribosomal RNA", at positions 337 to 798 of the family's 1533-position model. The record is from RNAcentral. Lineage: Bacteria; Bacillati; Bacillota; Negativicutes; Veillonellales; Veillonellaceae.
GCCUACGGGAGGCUGCAGUGGGGAAUCUUCCGCAAUGGACGAAAGUCUGACGGAGCAACGCCGCGUGAGUGAAGAAGGUUUUCGGAUCGUAAAGCUCUGUCUUCCAGGACGAAAGUAGAUAUUGUGAAUAAUGAUAUUUAAUGACGGUACUUGAGGAGGAAGCCACGGCUAACUACGUGCCAGCAGCCGCGGUACUACGUAGGUGGCAAGCGUUGUCCGGAAUUAUUGGGCGUAAAGGGAGCGCAGGUGGGAAUAUCAGUCUAUCUUAAAAGUUCGGGGCGCAACCGCGUGAUGGGAUGGAAACUAUAUUUCUUGAGUGCAGGAGAGGAAAGUGGAAUUCCUAGUGUAGCGGUGAAAUGCGAAGAUAUUAGGAGGAACACCAGUGGCGAAGGCGACUUUCUGGACUGUAACUGACACUGAGGCUCGAAAGCCAGGGUAGUGAACGGGAUUAGAUACCCUGGUAGUCUUC